CGUCAUUACACCCCUCGAGCCCAGCUCGGUGUUGGGGGCCACCUCCCGGGGCGCCCCCGAAAAUCAGCGGCGAUGCGGCCGGUCCUCGAGCGCAGUCAAACUUUUUCGUUCCGCUGCGAGGCCCCGGGCGUGUCCGCCGGACAACCCCCUUACUUUCCACGAUUGACCUCGGAUCAGGUAGGGAUACCCGCUGAACUUAA
This 200-nucleotide unclassified non-coding RNA is filed under the name soil metagenome. RNAcentral describes it as "partial contains internal transcribed spacer 2 and large subunit ribosomal RNA". The record is from RNAcentral.